AUUCCCACGCAGAAUAAUCAAAGAGCCUUUGCGGCAUAGGGUUUUUCUGUAAACCUCGUAAGCUUAGUACCGAUGGCCACCGCCUCCGUCGCCAGAUCGAUCUUCCGAGCAACGUCCUCUCGCACCACCGCAACCGCCGGUCGAUUUUCCUCUCAAGCUAAAUCGGCUCCUUCUAUGUUUCGCUCCACCUCCAGAAGAAGCUCUCUUAUCCCCUCUCUUCGAUCUCCAGUCCAACUGAGCUUCUGUGCGGAGUCCAUGUUACCAUACCACACUGCCACAGCCUCAGCACUGAUGACUUCAAUGCUUUCAAUCUCUGGCUGUAGCUACGGAUGGCUCUCAGACGAGAUCUCGUGAAGGAAUCAUAACUGAUUGAUCUUAUACUGCUUCAGCUUGCAAUGAUGAUGUGUGAUGAAUUUGUCAAGGGGAUCACUGAAGCCACAGUUUAUCUUGCAAUGACGACUUAUGAAGGCGAAUCAUGGACAAGGUUUCAGAGAUUUUGGAUGAGAAACAAUGACAGAGAUGUAAAAUUCAGAACAUCUUCUUUGUUCAGAAGCCAUUUGUUGCGUUUAAUAAAAAAAAACCAUAAUAUGCAUUA
Tarenaya hassleriana is the source of this 595-nucleotide RNA transcript. It is a transcript of the gene named protein NUCLEAR FUSION DEFECTIVE 6, chloroplastic/mitochondrial, with no coding region annotated. NCBI's taxonomy places the organism in Eukaryota, Viridiplantae, Streptophyta, Magnoliopsida, Brassicales, Cleomaceae. The transcript has 4 exons. The record is from RefSeq and is a predicted model, not a curated record.